Passer domesticus (house sparrow) is the source of this 2062-nucleotide long non-coding RNA. RefSeq lists it as uncharacterized. The transcript is spliced from 3 exons. NCBI's taxonomy places the organism in Eukaryota, Metazoa, Chordata, Aves, Passeriformes, Passeridae. The record is from RefSeq and is a predicted model, not a curated record.
GUGGUGCCUUGCAUUCCUCCCUGGCAUUCCCAGUGGGAGGUGGGGUUAGUGACAGAAGGGAAUGGGCAGGGGGCUUCUUGCUGCAAUGGAAGAGAAUGGCAGAGCUUUUUCCUGCAGAUUCAUCCAAACCCAACAAGUGGGGCCAAUUUGGGGAGCCAAAGGCUGGUUCUCAGUAGAUAGUUGAUGCAACUUGGUGCACAGCAUGAGCAAAAAGUAUGAUCAUGAUCAAAAAGUAUUAUUAUUUCACAAAAGAAUAUUGUCCUUCUGCCAAGGUCAGUUGUCUUCGGGGAAUUUAUACAUAUAGUCCCAAAUAUCCAUUGUGUGCUUGUCUACUAAAAAGCUUUCUAUCUCCAACUGAUGUUCAGAGAAAAAGGAAAAAUUAGGUUAGUUUUUUAAAAAAAAAGGGAAUAGGAUUGGACAAUAAUCAAUUUUAUUAAUGAUUGAAUUGGUUGUUGUGGCAUGUUUGUUUUCUUUUCUUUACCAGAAUGAAAUUUGGCUUGGACUUUGAGAAAUGAAGAGUGAAAGUUCAUUAUAUUUAGCCAAAACCCAGCCCAGGGUGUGAGGCAGCCCUUAAUGUAAUUCUUGAUCAGCGGGUAUGUAAUUAUCACCAAUACUUCUUGAAAUGUGUUCUUUUCCAUUGUGGAAGAGCAUAACUUAGAUAUGAAGCCUGCUUUGCUUAAGAACAUUGAUAAAAUCACAUUUGCUGAAUGGAAUGAGAGAGGCUGCUCUUGAAGAUAAAUGAUAAUCUGGACAAUAGAGAGUCUGUAGAUCUAAUUUUCUGGACUUCAGUAAACUAUUUGAUAAACUACCCCUUGGGAAAUGGUUAGUUAACCUGGAGAAUAUUGGGAUUAGUAGAAGAAAUGAAGGAUGAGCAAGGAAGGGACAACAGCAUGGAAAUUUUCAUGGUAGGGAGUCACUGGUGGUGUAUUUGUUAAUUUAGUCAAGGUGUUUGUUUAUUUUGAACUUUUGGUAGUGAUUUUUUUUCUGGGGUGGUGGUAGGGGAAAAGGGCUUGAUAAUGAGAUUUUUAGAUGAGGCACACCUGAGAAAACAUCAUGAGCAUCAAAUUGCAGGCAGGUGAUAUGAAUAAGAUGAUGAUGAACUGCAACAGAAAAGUUUGAGACCUGAAUAACACAAGUGGCUUUCAAGAUGUAUAUGAAGGGCUUGUGUUCUGCAGAUGAAAACAGUGGAGAAAGACCAUGUACAUUAUCUGACCCCAAGGGGAUUCCAAAAUACAGAACUGAGGCAAUGAAAUAUUGGGCUGGAUGAGAAGAAGGUUAAUAUUGUACAGGGUAUUAUAUUGGUUAUUGCAUUUACGUGUGGGUCAGCUAUUUGAGCAGGAGGGGAGAAAUAGCAGUGCAAUCAAAUCUAUGAAUGAAGGCUUCCAUCAUCCUCCAGAGGCCAGCAGCACUGAAUGGGAACUGACUCCCACACCGGCCUGAACUUAUCCACAGCAAGAGGGCAGCUGGCUUCCAUGGGCCUGGGACAAGUGUGGAGCCUAGGAAAACUGUAUUGACCACUGCUGCCCCAAUCACAGAGGAAACUGCUAGGAAGAACAAUUGGACAUAAGGGAAAAGUGUUGGUCCUCAAAGAGAAAACUUGAUUCUGGAAAAAAAAACCCUUUUACUACAGGGAGUGCACUUGCUUUUUGUGGAGUUUGAGCCUUGUUGGAGUUGUUCCAGACCAGGUUUGUGUGCAUGAAGAGAAGGGAAGUAUGAGGAGUUCGGGCUGUACAGACACCAGCCUGACUCUGUCAUCUCAGAAGUCAAGAGAGCUAAAGAGGAACCUUUUCCCUGAUGGGGACCAAGUUAAUUAAGAGAAAUGAAAAGAGUAAAUCUGUUCUAUGGAUUUUUCCAGUGGUUCAGUGGAGGCUGGUUUCACUAGAAGCUGGUUACAAUUUAAUGUGUUACCACAAAGCAUGGACAAUGCUGUAUAGAGAUUUUUUUUACAUAUAAACUAAAAGAGCAAAAUUUGAUAUUUUAUGGCUUUCUCCAAAGCUGAUGUAAAAUCAGGAACAUCUCUACUGAAGGCAAGUCAGUUAUGCUGUGUCAAAGAAGUGAAGGU